UUGGCUAAGGUGUCUUGGCUAAGGUGUCUUGGCUAAUGUGUCUUGGCUAAUGUGUCUUGGCUAGGGUGUCUUGGCUAAUGUGUCUUGGCUAAGGUGUCUUGGCUAAUGUGUCUUGGCUAAUGUGUCUUGGCUAAGGUGUCUUGGCUAAGGUGUCUUGGCUAAGGUGUCUUGGCUAAUGUGUCUUGGCUAGGGUGUCUUGGCUAAGGUGUCUUGGCUAAUGUGUCUUGGCUAAGGUGUCUUGGCUAAGGUGUCUUGGCUAAUGUGUCUUGGCUAAGGUGUCUUGGCUAAGGUGUCUUGGCUAAUGUGUCUUGGCUAAGGUGUCUUGGCUAAGGUGUCUUGGCUAAGGUGUCUUGGCUAAUGUGUCUUGGCUAAGGUGUCUUGGCUAAGGUGUCUUGGCUAAUGUGUCUUGGCUAAGGUGUCUUGGCUAAUGUGUCUUGGCUAAUGUGUCUUGGCUAGGGUGUCUUGGCUAAGGUGUCUUGGCUAAUGUGUCUUGGCUAAGGUGUCUUGGCUAAGGUGUCUUGGCUAAUGUGUCUUGGCUAAGGUGUCUUGGCUAAGGUGUCUUGGCUAAGGUGUCUUGGCUAAUGUGUCUUGGCUUAUGUGUCUUGGCAAAGGUGUCUUGGCUAAUGUGUCUUGGCUAAUGUGUCUUGGCUAAGGUGUCUUGGCUAAUGUGUCUUGGCUAAGGUGUCUUGGCUAAGGUGUCUUGGCUAAGGUGUCUUGGCUAAUGUGUCUUGGCUAAUGUGUCUUGGCUAGGGUGUCUUGGCUAAUGUGUCUUGGCUAAGGUGUCUUGGCUAAGGUGUCUUGGCUAAUGUGUCUCGGCUAAGGUGUCUUGGCUAAUGUGUCUUGGCUAAUGUGUCUUGGCUAAGGUGUCUUGGCUAAUGUGUCUCGACUAAGGUGUCUUGGCUAAGGUGUCUUGGCUAAAGUGUCUUGGCUAAGGUGUCUUGGCUAAUGUGUCUUGGCUAAUGUGUCUCGGCUAAGGUGUCUUGGCUAAUGUGUCUUGGCUAAGGUGUCUUGGCUAAGGUGUCUUGGCUAAUGUGUCUCGGCUAAGGUGUCUUGGCUAAUGUGUCUUGGCUAAGGUGUCUGGGCUAAGGUGUCUUGGCUAAGGUGUCUUGGCUAAGGUGUCUUGGCUAAUGUGUCUUGGCUAAUGUGUCUUGGCUAAUGUGUCUUGGCUAAGGUGUCUGGGCUAAUGUGUCUUGGCUAAUGUGUCUUGGCUAAGGUGUCUUGGCUAACGUGUCUUGGCUAAGGUGUCUUGGCUAAGGUGUCUUGGCUAAUGUGUCUUGGCUAAGGUGUCUUGGCUAAGGUGUCUUGGCUAAUGUGUCUUGGCUAAGGUGUCUUGGCUAAGGUGUCUUGGCUAAUGUGUCUUGGCUAAUGUGUCUUGGCUAAGGUGUCUUGGCUAAGGUGUCUUGGCUAAGGUGUCUUGGCUAAGGUGUCUUGGCUAAGGUGUCUUGGCUAAUGUGUCUUGGCUAAGGUGUCUUGGCUAAUGUGUCUUGGCUAAGGUGUCUUGGCUAAGGUGUCUUGGCUAAUGUGUCUUGGCUUAGGUGUCUUGGCUAAUGUGUCUUGGCUAAGGUGUCUUGGCUAAGGUGUCUUGGCUAAGGUGUCUUGGCUAAGGUGUCUUGGCUAAGGUGUCUUGGCUAAGGUGUCUUGGCUAAUGUGUCUUGGCGAAGGUGUCUUGGCUAAGGUGUCUUGGCUAAGGUGUCUUGGCUAAUGUGUCUUGGCUAAUGUGUCUUGGCUAAGGCGUCUUGGCUAAGGUGUCUCGGCUAAGGUGUCUUGGCUAAUGUGUCUUGGCUAAGGUGUCUUGGCUAAUGUGUCUUGGCUAAGGUGUCUUGGCUAAGGUGUCUUGGCUAAUGUGUCUUGGCUUAGGUGUCUUGGCUAAUGUGUCUUGGCUAAGGUGUCUUGGCUAAUGUGUCUUGGCUAAGGUGUCUUGGCUAAGGUGUCUUGGCUAAGGUGUCUUGGCUAAGGUGUCUUGGCUAAUGUGUCUUGGCUAAGGUGUCUUGGCUAAGGUGUCUUGGCUAAGGUGUCUUGGCUAAUGUGUCUUGGCUAAUGUGUCUUGGCUAAGGUAUCUUGGCUAAGGUGUCUUGGCUAAGGUGUCUUGGCUAAGGUGUCUUGGCUAAUGUGUCUUGGCUAAGGUGUCUUGGCUAAUGUGUCUUGGCUAAGGUGUCUUGGCUAAUGUGUCUUGGCUAAUGUGUCUUGGCUAAGGUGUCUUGGCUAAUGUGUCUUGGCUAAGGUGUCUUGGCUAAGGUGUCUUGGCUAAUGUGUCUUUUCUAAGGUGUCUUGGCUAAGGUGUCUUGGCUAAGGUGUCUUGGCUAAGGUGUCUUGGCUAAGGUGUCUUGGCUAAUGUGUCUUGGCUAAUGUGUCUUGGCUAAGGUGUCUUGGCUAAUGUGUCUUGGCUAAGGUGUCUUGGCUAAGGUGUCUUGGCUAAGGUGUCUUGGCUAAGGUGUCUUGGCUAAGGUGUCUUGGCUAAGA
This is a long non-coding RNA of Anopheles funestus (African malaria mosquito), 2460 nucleotides long. RefSeq lists it as uncharacterized. The record is from RefSeq and is a predicted model, not a curated record. The transcript is spliced from 3 exons. NCBI's taxonomy places the organism in Eukaryota, Metazoa, Arthropoda, Insecta, Diptera, Culicidae.